RNAcentral lists this ribosomal RNA (483 nucleotides) under uncultured bacterium. RNAcentral's name for it is "bacterial SSU rRNA". It matches the Rfam family "Bacterial small subunit ribosomal RNA", at positions 28 to 521 of the family's 1533-position model. The record is from RNAcentral.
GAUGAACGCUGGCGGCGUGCCUAAUACAUGCAAGUCGAACGAGGUGCCUUUGUAGCAAUACGAAGGUAUCCUAGUGGCGAACGGGUGAGUAACGCGUUGGUGACCUACCCCAAAGUGUGGGAUAACAGAUCGAAAGAUCUGCUAAUACCGCAUGUGGUCUUCGGAUUUAGAAACUGAUGACUAAAGGAGCAAUUCGCUUUGGGAGGGACCUGCGUCCCAUCAGCUAGUUGGUGAGGUAAUGGCUCACCAAGGCUACGACGGGUAGGGGACCUGAGAGGGUGGCCCCCCACAAUGGAACUGAAACACGGUCCAUACACCUACGGGUGGCAGCAGUAGGGAAUAUUGCACAAUGGGCGAAAGCCUGAUGCAGCAACGCCGCGUGUGCGAUGAAGGCCUUCGGGUCGUAAAGCACUUUUCUGAGGGAUGAGCAAGGACAGUACCUCAGGAAUAAGUCUCGGCUAACUACGUGCCAGCAGCCGCGGU